Paramuricea clavata is the source of this 224-nucleotide non-coding RNA. The record is from the annotation of a GenBank genome assembly. Lineage: Eukaryota; Metazoa; Cnidaria; Anthozoa; Malacalcyonacea; Plexauridae.
AUUGUACUUGAAAUUUAUCUAUUUGUGUCUUGUAUAUAGCUGAUGGAACCCAAUGAGGCAAUGACCAGUAUGAAGAAUGGACUGAUUUCAGGGAAAGAAGAUAUUAUUUCAUUGGGCUGAUUUGCACCCAAAAUUAAUUUUUACAAUAUUGAGUCAGUUGGGUUCAUGGCUUGUUUGACAUUCAUAAAACAUGGCGUAUUUGUGUGCAACACUUCAGGACAAAG